AAGUCGUAACAAGGUUUCCGUAGGUGAACCUGCGGAAGGAUCAUUAUUGAAUUUACAUGGGUUGUGCUGGUUCUUACAAGUGCACGCCUAUAUCAAUUUCCAUACACCUGUGCACCUUUGUAGACUGGGAGAGAAAUCUUCUGGUCUGCGUUUUAUACACUCUUUUUUAUUACAUUGAAUGUUUCUUGUCUUUUGACAAACAAAUCUAUACAACUUUAAGCAACGGAUCUCUUGGCUCUC
This 240-nucleotide unclassified non-coding RNA is filed under the name fungal sp. RNAcentral's name for it is "partial internal transcribed spacer region". The stretch from base 1 to 46 matches the Rfam family "Eukaryotic small subunit ribosomal RNA", at positions 1786 to 1831 of the family's 1831-position model. The record is from RNAcentral. Lineage: Eukaryota; Fungi.